Molecule: ribosomal RNA, 1182 nt
Filed under: Lupinus angustifolius (narrow-leaved blue lupine)
Lineage: Eukaryota; Viridiplantae; Streptophyta; Magnoliopsida; Fabales; Fabaceae
Description: rRNA SSU_rRNA_eukarya
Rfam family: Eukaryotic small subunit ribosomal RNA
Source: RNAcentral
UAGCGGAUCUGGCGGCACCAUGUGUUUCCAUUUGCUUGUCAUUGGCAUUACCGGGAGUGGUUCAUAUGGUAUCGUCGAGUCUGUCUAAUGGGAGGGCUCGUGAGUGGCAAUUGGGAUGUUUGUGUUGUCUGGCUCCAAUUGAUAGUAUCUACUACUCGAAUAACCGUAGUAAUUCUAGAGGUAAUAUGUGCAACAAACCCCGACUUCUGGAAGGGUUACAUUUAUUAGAUAAAUGGUCGAUGGAGGAUCUGCCUGUUGUUUUGAUGAUUCAUGAUAACUCGUCGGAUCACACAGCCUUUGUGCCGGCGACGCAUCAUUCAAAUUUCUGCCCUAUCAACUUCCGAUGGUAGGAUAAUGGCCUGCCAUGGUGGUCACAGGUGACGAAGAAUUAGGAUUCAAUUCUGGAGAGGGAGCCUGAGAAACGGGUACCACAUCCAAGGAAGGCAGCAGGCGUGCAAAUUACCCAAUCCUAACACGGGGAGGUAGUGACAAUAAAUAACACUAUCGGGCUCAUUGAGCAUGGUAAUUGGAAUGAGUACAAUCUAAAUCCCUUAACGAGGAUCCAUUCGAGUGCAAGUCUGGUGCCAACAGUCGUGGUAAUUCCAGCUCCAAUAGCGUAUAUUUAAAUUGUUGUAGUUAAAAAGCUUCUACUUGGCCCUUUGGUUGGGUCGAUCGGUCCCCCAUUGGUCUGCACCGGUCGUCUCGUCCCUUCUACCGGUGAUGCACUCCUGGCCUUAACUGGUCGGUUCGUGCCUCCGGUAUUGUUACUUUGAAGAGAUUAGAGUGCUCAAAGCAAGCCUACGCUCUAGAUACAUUAGCAUAGGAUAACACCAAAGGAUUUUGAUCCUAUUGCCUUCGGGAUCGGAGUAAUGAUUAACAGGGACAGUCGGGGGCAAUCAUAUUUCAUAAUCAGAAUGGUCCGGUGAAACGUUCGGAUUACGGCGAUGUCCCUUCCCAUUCAUCUUAAGCGCGAGUCAUCAUCUCGCGUUGACUAUGUCCCUGCCCUUUGUGCACACCGCCCAUCGCUCCUACCGAUUGAAGUGUCCGGUGAAGUGUUCGGAUUACGGUGACAUAGGCGGUCCGUCGCCAGCGACAUUGUGAGAAGUCCACUGAACCUUAUCAUUUUGAGGAAGGAGAAGUCGUAACAAGGUUUCUGUAGGUGAACCUGAGGAAGGAUCAUUG